This 260-nucleotide long non-coding RNA is filed under the name Elaeis guineensis (African oil palm). RNAcentral's name for it is "long non-coding RNA (EGUI_LNC005360)". The record is from RNAcentral. Lineage: Eukaryota; Viridiplantae; Streptophyta; Magnoliopsida; Arecales; Arecaceae.
AGGUGACCCAUAUUAGGAAGGCCAACGAAAAACUUGUUGAUGGAUGGGCAAAGACUAUUAUUGUAAGUGAAUAAGUAUUUGAAUUGACUAUCUUUCGAUAUUUACACUGAGAGAUAAAUUUUGAGGAUAAUAUUUGAUAAUUGAUAUAAUGCAAGAUCGCUAUAAUAUACUUAAGGAGCAGAUGUCUCAGCCACAAGAGGGAUGCAGUGAGCCUUCUAUUAUGGAUGACAGACAGCUUUGGUAUGAGGCUGUUGGGGGAG